AUUGAACGCUGGCGGCAUGCCUUACACAUGCAAGUCGAACGGCAGCACGGGUGCUUGCACCUGGUGGCGAGUGGCGAACGGGUGAGUAAUACAUCGGAACAUGUCCUGUAGUGGGGGAUAGCCCGGCGAAAGCCGGAUUAAUACCGCAUACGAUCUACGGAUGAAAGCGGGGGACCUUCGGGCCUCGCGCUAUAGGGUUGGCCGAUGGCGGAUUAGCUAGUUGGUGGGGUAAAGGCCUACCAAGGCGACGAUCAGUAGCUGGUCUGAGAGGACGACCAGCCACACUGGGACUGAGACACGGCCCAGACUCCUACGGGAGGCAGCAGUGGGGAAUUUUGGACAAUGGGCGAAAGCCUGAUCCAGCAAUGCCGCGUGUGUGAAGAAGGCCUUCGGGUUGUAAAGCACUUUUGUCCGGAAAGAAAUCCUUGGCUCUAAUACAGGCGGGGGAUGACGGUACCGGAAGAAUAAGCACCGGCUAACUACGUG
This 486-nucleotide ribosomal RNA is filed under the name uncultured bacterium. Its description in RNAcentral is "partial 16S ribosomal RNA". It matches the Rfam family "Bacterial small subunit ribosomal RNA", at positions 30 to 507 of the family's 1533-position model. The record is from RNAcentral.